This 253-nucleotide ribosomal RNA is filed under the name uncultured bacterium. RNAcentral describes it as "partial 16S ribosomal RNA". It matches the Rfam family "Bacterial small subunit ribosomal RNA", at positions 524 to 776 of the family's 1533-position model. The record is from RNAcentral.
UACGUAGGGUGCGAGCGUUGUCCGGAAUUAUUGGGCGUAAAGGGCUCGUAGGCGGUCUGUUGCGUCGGGAGUGAAAACUCAGGGCUUAACCCUGAGCCUGCUUCCGAUACGGGCAGACUAGAGGUAUGCAGGGGAGAACGGAGUUCCUGGUGUAGCGGUGAAAUGCGCAGAUAUCAGGAGGAACACCGGUGGCGAAGGCGGUUCUCUGGGCAUUACCUGACGCUGAUGCGCGAAAGCUAGGGGAGCAAACAGG